AGGGUUCGAUCUGGCUCAGGAUGAACGCUAGCGGCAGGCUUAACACAUGCAAGUCGAGGGGCAGCGCGAGUAGCAAUACUUGGCGGCGACCGGCGCAAGGGUGCGUAACGCGUGAGCAACAUGCCCGUAUCAGGGGGAUAAUCCAGGGAAACUUGGUCUAAUACCCCAUAGUAAUUUUGUAAGGCAUCUUAUAAGAUUUAAAGCUUUGGUGGAUACGGAUUGGCUCGCGUGACAUUAGCUGGAUGGUAAGGUAACGGCUUACCAUGGCUAUGAUGUCUAGGGGUUCUGAGAGGAAGGUCCCCCACACUGGAACUGAGACACGGUCCAGACUCCUACGGGAGGCAGCAGUGAGGAAUAUUGGACAAUGGAUGGAAAUCUGAUCCAGCCAUGCCGCCGUGAAGGAAGAAGGUCCUAUGGAUUGUAAACUUCUUUUGUAUGGGAGCAAUAAGGCCUACGAGUAGGUUGAUGAGAGUACCAUACGAAUAAGCACCGGCUAACUCCGUGCCAGCCGCCGC
This 515-nucleotide ribosomal RNA is filed under the name uncultured bacterium. RNAcentral's name for it is "bacterial SSU rRNA". It matches the Rfam family "Bacterial small subunit ribosomal RNA", at positions 8 to 518 of the family's 1533-position model. The record is from RNAcentral.